CAAGCAGGGGAGCAGGAUGGAGUCACGGACCCAGGUCCUCAUGUCCCUGCUGCUCUGGGUGUCUGGUACCUGUGCAGACAUCGUGAUGAACCAGUCUCCAUCCUCCCUGGCUGUGUCAGCAGGAGAGAAGGUCACCAUCAGCUGCAAGUCCAGUCAGAGUCUCACUUCAGGCUCCAGUCACUACUUGGCCUGGUACCAGCAGAAACCAGGACAGGCUCCUAAACUGCUGAUCUACUUAGCAUCCACUCGGUACACUGGGGUCCCUGAUCGCUUCACAGGCAGUGGAUCUGGGACAGAUUAUACUCUCACCAUCAGCAGUGUCCAGGCUGAAGACCUGGCAGAUUACUACUGUCAGCAGGGUUAUAGUAAUUUUCCCACAGUGCUUCAGCCUCCAACAAAAACCUCCUCUGAGAUUCACCAGCUGCCUGCACUACACAUAGCCCUGUACCUGCACACUUCCACUUCCCCCUUUUGGCUGAGAGCCAGUGUGCCUGAAAUAUUGAUGAAAAUGUUUGCAGAGCCCAGCAAAAUAUAA
Non-coding RNA from Peromyscus leucopus (white-footed mouse), 535 nucleotides. The record is from the annotation of a RefSeq genome assembly. Lineage: Eukaryota; Metazoa; Chordata; Mammalia; Rodentia; Cricetidae.